Frankliniella occidentalis (western flower thrips) is the source of this 1058-nucleotide long non-coding RNA. RefSeq lists it as uncharacterized. The record is from RefSeq and is a predicted model, not a curated record. The transcript has 3 exons. NCBI's taxonomy places the organism in Eukaryota, Metazoa, Arthropoda, Insecta, Thysanoptera, Thripidae.
UGAGAGUUUUUUUUUCCGGGUUUCACGCGUUGUUGAGGUAGAAAAGGGUUUCACGCACUGUUUUGUGUUCGGAUAGAGGGUUUCACAUCGAGGGCUGCCCUGACAGACGCUUCAGUUUGGAUAAGUUUUCAAGCAUAGGUGUUAAGGGGCUCAAUUGGAAGGUCUCACACUGAGGGUUGCAUGGGAGGUUGUAGGGCUAGAGGUUUCAAAAUUCGAUUCUUAGCGUGGCCGUUGUGUAGCGAUCGGAGGGAUCCAUUGAGAGGUGUGGUCUCAACGGCUCUCUCCUGCCUCGCCAGCCCGAUCAACGACAUGAAGAGCCCCGGGGAGGUCGCCGACGCCGACUAGGAGGCCAGCCCAGCUGAGGAGACACCGCCAAGCUGGACAGGAUGGCGGCCUUCACCGGGUCCGGCCCGUCCAGGCAGCGCUCGCUCAAGGACCGGCUGCGCGAGGGCAUCGCGGGGACGCUGUCUUGGCAGAAAACGGCCUGGAAAUGUUCUUGACCUGAGCAAAGAAGUCAAUGGAGUCAUUUUACCUGAAAGUAUAGGAAGAUCGGCCUGCCUGGAGGUGUUUCUGUCCUGGACAUCAGUCGUGCAGCCCAUGGAAUCAUCAGAUAUAAGUUGAGUUGGGGUCACAGUGAUAACCGUUGGUCCAGUUAUUUUUUUACCCCCCUGUAAAUUCACCACCCACAUUGUGGAAGGGUCUAGCGGAGCCGUUCCGCUCAACGCUGUGGAGUCAGCGGACCCCUUGCAUGGGGACAAUACGUGCAACGCGUGACCUCACUGCGUCAAUGAGGGGGCUGGACGUGUCGCCCUAAGCCGUCCGAAAAAACCUCCCCUCCCCCUGCCCUCCUCUCGGCUGCGGCUGCUGUGGAGGUAGUAGUGGGCUGCCGCCGCUGCUGCGGGGGCUGUGGGGGUAGUAGUAGUGGUAAUCCUACUGCUGCCACUGCGGCCGCUGCAUCAGAGACGUCUGUGACGUCACUGCGGUAGUGGUGGCUGUCUGCUACUACAUCCACAGUUACUACAGCUUCUAGCUAACUAGGUGUAGGAAAUCAAGUAAAA